Long non-coding RNA from Dipodomys ordii (Ord's kangaroo rat), 1109 nucleotides. RefSeq lists it as uncharacterized. The transcript is spliced from 3 exons. The record is from RefSeq and is a predicted model, not a curated record. NCBI's taxonomy places the organism in Eukaryota, Metazoa, Chordata, Mammalia, Rodentia, Heteromyidae.
UCUAGAGGGAUGAAAUCAUGCUCCUCCGGCACGGGGUCUGGGAGCUGGCCAGGAGGGCUGGGCGGGCCGGGGCAGCACUAGACCCUCGGCCAGCCAUGAUCCGUGGGGAUCUGAGUCUGGCCCUGGGCACAGCCAUGUGGAAGAAGAGGCAUGCAGGGAGAGAGCACCAUAACUGAGCCGGGGCCGGCGGGAGUGUGCCGCUGACCGAGGGGAGUGUGCUGCAGGUCUCUGGCAUUGCCCUGCCCUGACUCCUGAGGGCUCCAUGAAGCAGGGCCUUGCAGGGUGUCCCAGCCAGAUGUCAGACCUGGGGGGGGGGGUCACUGGAUGCACAGGAGCACCUCGGAGGCAUGGGGUAGGGAGGGACUUGUGAGGACACCGCUCUGUGGAAGUCUCAUUUGCUUAGACUGCAACCUGGCCCUCUGGCUCAGGUGACCUGGCCUCUUGCUGGCCAGGCCGCCGUGAUCUUCAGGAGUAGAGGUCUGACACGCACCUGGAAGGCGGACUCUCUUGGCGGUGGCUCUGGACUUCGGGCCCUCCGGGUGCAAUCUGUCUUCCGUCCACGGUGCCUGAACUCACUCUCCCUGGCAGUGCUCCGGGCAGGACAGAUGUGGCCACCUCUCCUGCUGCCCAGAUCACAUUCCUGGCCCUGGAUUAAAGCAGUCUUGCAACAACAGAAUGGCCUCUACUCCAACCACCCUUGCACAGCCCAGUGGAGGACAUCUGGUAACAGGGCUGCCUUCUCCUGUGGAAUGGCCGACGCAGUCUGAGAUGUUCCCUGGGCAACGUCUCCACGGCUCAUGCCUGGACUUUGAAGAUUCUGGGGAGUCUGAGACGCUGUAGAAGAUGAGACGGCCCCGUCUCCUCCUCCAGCUCUGCCCUGCUUCUAUGUGGGGCUCUGAGUGUUGGAAGGGGGGGAGGGGCAGUGUGGGCAGAAAAGCCAGCAGCCCCGCUCUGGAGAACUUAUGCACUUUGGCAGGAGGGGAAAACAUGAGGGGAGUUCCUGCCUGCUGCCAACCCUUAAGUGUCACUGCUCUGGGGACCUGCAUGGGCUGGGAGGUCAGAGGUCAGCGGAGGGGCGGCACCGGGCGUGAGGAGAGGCCGGGCGGUCC